Heterocephalus glaber (naked mole-rat) is the source of this 953-nucleotide long non-coding RNA. RefSeq lists it as uncharacterized. Lineage: Eukaryota; Metazoa; Chordata; Mammalia; Rodentia; Bathyergidae. The record is from RefSeq and is a predicted model, not a curated record.
AGAGAGGAGGUGCGCAGUCGUCAGGGGGACCAGGGCCCCUGCCAGGCGAGGAGAGGACAGCGUUCUCCCCCAUCCUCCCGAACCCACAUACCCGAGGGCAGAGAACAACAAAAGAACAGAUCUACAAGGUCCGCGGGACACGAGUCAGGGAUGUGCUGAUCUGUCAGGAAGGAUCGGGAAAGAGCUACUUAGCAGGUAUCGACCACCUUGAUCCAGGCCCUGGGGGUUCCGACCCAGUCACUGUGCUCAGGGAACGGAACUUCUGUGGAGAGAGAAAACCCGAACCAAACCAAAAUACAGAUCAACCAAUGAAGCCGGCACACGCCUCAGGCGAUUGUCACAAGAAAAGAACAUAAGAGUUCUGCUAAUGACAUCUGAUGGAGUACACGAGUAUUUUCUCUUUAAGGCCAAUGAAAAACCUCAGAAAUUACAGAGGAAACGAACAUAAAAGGACUCUGCAAGAAGCCUGACAGAACUUCUGCAUGGCGAAUCCUCACUAAUCCCCAGCUGCUGCAUACUGUAAUGUGAAGACGGCGUAUUUGUGAGAUUAAAUAAACCAUUUGUUCCUGUGACCACAAGCGGAGAGAGUAGAAAGAAAUCAAUCAAGGAAAGCAAUUUCUAUGUGCUUCCUAUAAACAGAGGUUUUCCAUUUUCUCUCUCAGCACUUCUACUACAGGAGUAGUGAAUUUGUCAACUUGAUUUUCAAUGGCUCAUGAAAGGUGGUUAGCUGUCAACCUGCGGUCUGAACGCUUAGCUGAGUGUUUGCUAGAAGAGCUCUUCCAGGAAGGUGGACCCUCCUUCUUAGAUGAGAACGCUUGGAACUCUGCAGAUAAUUAAGUUUCAGAAAUACUUGGAGGAACAAAGUGAAACGGACAUGCUUGCUGCAGGACUUCUCAGAGCCUUUGUGAGGCUGGUGUCUAUUGUCUAUUGUGAGCCUUUGGGAGAGAGCGCAA